Molecule: ribosomal RNA, 253 nt
Filed under: uncultured bacterium
Lineage: Bacteria
Description: partial 16S ribosomal RNA
Rfam family: Bacterial small subunit ribosomal RNA
Source: RNAcentral
UACAGAGGGUGCAAACGUUGCUCGGAAUUAUUGGGCGUAAAGCGCGUGUAGGCGGCUUGUUAAGUUGGUUGUGAAAACCCAUGGCUCAACCAUGGAAGUGCGUCCAAAACUGGCAAGCUAGAGUUCUGGCGAGGAUGGCGGAAUUCCCAGUGUAGAGGUGAAAUUCGUAGAUAUUGGGAGGAACACCGGUGGCGAAGGCGGCCAUCUGGGAAGAUACUGACGCUGAGACGCGAAAGCGUGGGGAGCAAACAGG